GGAACCUGGAAGCCUAGGCAGGCAGUGGGGAACUCUGACUCGCCUGUGCUCUGGAGCUUGAUCCGAAAGCUUCCACAGUGAGGACUGCUCCGUGGGGGUAAGAGAGCACCAGGCACUGAGGCCUGGGAGUUCCACAGACCAACACCCCUGCUCCUGGCGGCUCCCACCCGGGACUUAGACCCUCAGGUCCCUAAUAUCCCGGAGGUGCUCUCAAUCAGAAAGGUCCUGCUCCGCUUCGCAGUGGAAUGGAACGGAUUUAGAAGCCUGCAGUAGGGGAGUGGGGAGUGGAGAGAGGGAGCCCAGAGUUACAGACGGCGGCGAGAGGAAGGAGGGGCGUCUUUAUUUUUUUAAGGCCCCAAAGAGUCUGAUGUUUACAAGACCAGAAAUGCCACGGCCGCGUCCUGGCAGAGAAAAGGCUGAAAUGGAGGACCGGCGCCUUCCUUAUAAGCUCGUUGGGGCCUAAGCCAGUACCGACCUGGUAGAAAAAGCAACCACGAAGCUAGAGAGAGAGCCAGAGGAGGGAAGAGAGCGCCAGACGAAGGUGAAAGCGAACCACGCAGAGAAAUGCAGGCAAGGGAGCAAGGCGGCAGUUCCCGGAACAAACGUGGCAGAGGGCAAGACGGGCACUCACAGACAGAGGUUUAUAUGCCUUAUGGAGUAUAUACUCACAUGUAGCUAAAUAGACUCAGGACUGCACAUUCCUUGUGUAGGUUGUGUGUGUGUGGUGGUUUUAUGCAUAAAUAAAGUUUUACAUGUGGU
This 759-nucleotide long non-coding RNA is filed under the name Homo sapiens (human). Its description in RNAcentral is "HOX transcript antisense RNA variant G1.1". The record is from RNAcentral. Lineage: Eukaryota; Metazoa; Chordata; Mammalia; Primates; Hominidae.